This 236-nucleotide unclassified non-coding RNA is filed under the name Salmonella sp. RNAcentral's name for it is "partial 16S-23S ribosomal RNA intergenic spacer region". The stretch from base 1 to 73 matches the Rfam family "tRNA". Lineage: Bacteria; Pseudomonadati; Pseudomonadota; Gammaproteobacteria; Enterobacterales; Enterobacteriaceae. The record is from RNAcentral.
GGCUUGUAGCUCAGGUGGUUAGAGCGCACCCCUGAUAAGGGUGAGGUCGGUGGUUCAAGUCCACUCAGGCCUACCAGAUUCGCUCCCGUGCUUUGUUGUGGCAAAGCUCGCAUACUUCAGUAUGCUUCGCUUCACCACGCCGCGCCCGGAAACGAAUCAAAGGUAAGAGGUUCUGACUACACGAUGGGGCUAUAGCUCAGCUGGGAGAGCGCCUGCUUUGCACGCAGGAGGUCUGC